CAGGAGUGCCUGGAUCAGGUGCAAGUACGGGGAAUAUUGGAGAAAAAGGCCCCAAAGGAGAUAAGGGGCAAGAAGGUUUGCUGGGCCAGGUCGGUGUGAUUGGCCUUGCAGGAGCAAUUGGAGCCAGAGGACGAACCGGAGAAGCUGGUCUCCAAGGUCUACUUGGUUUAGACGGUCCUGAGGGAGAGAAGGUACUGAAAAGAAAUUAUCUAAUGUGAAAUAACCUUCCCUAUUGUAAUAGUGCACCAUGGGUGAUGGGAA
RNAcentral lists this long non-coding RNA (261 nucleotides) under Crocodylus porosus (Australian saltwater crocodile). RNAcentral's name for it is "lncRNA (ENSCPRG00005012219.1)". Lineage: Eukaryota; Metazoa; Chordata; Crocodylia; Crocodylidae. The record is from RNAcentral.